Molecule: ribosomal RNA, 1459 nt
Filed under: uncultured Bacillus sp.
Lineage: Bacteria; Bacillati; Bacillota; Bacilli; Caryophanales; Bacillaceae
Description: partial 16S ribosomal RNA
Rfam family: Bacterial small subunit ribosomal RNA
Source: RNAcentral
AGCAGGGGCGGCGUGCUAUACUGCAGUCGAGCGAAGAGAUGGGAGCUUGCUCCCUGAUCUUAUCGGCGGACGGGUGAGUAACACGUGGGCAACCUGCCCUGCAGACUGGGAUAACUCCGGGAAACCGGAGCUAAUACCGGGUAAUACAUCGCACCGCAUGGUGCAAUGUUGAAAGUUGGCCUUUGGCUAACACUGCAGGAUGGGCCCGCGGCGCAUUAGCUAGUUGGUAAGGUAACGGCUUACCAAGGCGACGAUGCGUAGCCGACCUGAGAGGGUGAUCGGCCACACUGGGACUGAGACACGGCCCAGACUCCUACGGGAGGCAGCAGUAGGGAAUCUUCCGCAAUGGACGAAAGUCUGACGGAGCAACGCCGCGUGAGUGACGAAGGCCUUCGGGUCGUAAAGCUCUGUUGUUAGGGAAGAACAAGUACCGUUCUAAUAGGGCGGUACCUUGACGGUACCUAACCAAAAAGCCCCGGCUAACUACUUGCCACCACCCGCGGUAAUACGUAGGUGGCAAGCGUUGUCCGGAAUUAUUGGGCGUAAAGCGCGCGCAGGCGGUCUUUUAAGUCUGAUGUGAAAGCCCACGGCUCACCCGUGGAGGGUCAUUGUAAACUGGAGGACUUGAGUGCACAAAAGGAGAGUGGAAUUCCACGUGUAGCGGUGAAAUGCGUAGAUAUGUGGAGAAACACAAGUGGCGAGAGCGGCUCUCUGGUCUGUAACUGACGCUGAGACGCGAAAGCGUGUGGAGCAAACAGGAUUAGAUACCCUGUUAGUCUACGCCGUAAACGAUGAGUGCUCGUGUUGGGGGGUUCCACCCUCUGUGCUGUAGUCAACACACUAAGCACUCCGCCUGGGGGAGUACGACCGCAAAGUGAAACUCAAAAGAAUUGACAGGGGGCCCGCACAAGCAGUGGAACAUGUGGGUUAAUUCGAACAACGCGCAGAACCUUACCCGUCUUGACAUCCUCUGACAUCCUGGAGACUGACGAUUCCCCUCAGGGACAGAGUGACAGUGAUGCAUGGUGUCUUCACCUCUGUCCUGGAAUGUUGGGUAAUUCCCCACAGAGGCACCUGAACCUAAUGCCCCACUCAGUUGGCACUCUAAGGUGACUGCGUGAAACCGAGAGAGAGUGGGGAUGAAUCAAAAUAUCUAUGCCUUUAACUGUCUAACCGCUUCCAUGGACGUCAAGGUGCCACUCAGGUAACAAAUCUAACGCUUCCAUUCACUGAAGGUGAAACACCCUACUUAGAAUCCCAUAAAGCCGUUCUCAGUUCGGAUUGCAGGCUGCAACUCGCCUGCAUGAAGCCGGAAUUGCUAGUAAUCGCGGAUCAGCAUGCCGCGGUGAAUACGUUCCCGGGCCUUGUACACACCGCCCGUCACACCACGAGAGUUUGUAACACCCGAAGUCGGUGGGGUAACCUUUAUGGAGCCAGCCGCCGAAGGUGGGACAAAUGA